Molecule: long non-coding RNA, 349 nt
Organism: Drosophila arizonae
Lineage: Eukaryota; Metazoa; Arthropoda; Insecta; Diptera; Drosophilidae
Source: RefSeq, a predicted model, not a curated record
GGUAUUUUGCAGAUAACGCACAAACGGUCAUAUUGCAUAUUUUGUUGCACUGUAGCCGUAUUUAAUGUUUUAGUCCGUAUUUAUGUAAAAAACAAACUACGUUGGAGCGAAGCACAUCAAUGUGCACAAGGCUGUUAAAUCUAUAAUCAAAUAGAGUCCGCUAACUGGAAUACCGUGCUGGAUCACAUCGCCUCUGGAAGAUUUGACGAGAUACUUGAGAUCGAAGUAUUUGAAACCCAUAGAACGCAUAGCAGCUAUGGACGUCGAGGAAACCUACGAGUCACAAAGCACAACUGAGACGCCGCCACAGCAGGGACCGUUGCAGCAGCAUAAUUUUAUUCACCAACAG